Molecule: ribosomal RNA, 253 nt
Filed under: uncultured bacterium
Lineage: Bacteria
Description: partial 16S ribosomal RNA
Rfam family: Bacterial small subunit ribosomal RNA
Source: RNAcentral
UACGUAGGGUGCAAGCGUUAAUCGGAAUUACUGGGCGUAAAGCGUGCGCAGGCGGUGAUGUAAGACAGUUGUGAAAUCCCCGGGCUCAACCUGGGAACUGCAUCUGUGACUGCAUCGCUGGAGUGCGGCAGAGGGGGAUGGAAUUCCGCGUGUAGCAGUGAAAUGCGUAGAUAUGCGGAGGAACACCGAUGGCGAAGGCAGCCCCCUGGGUCAAGAUUGACGCUCAUGCACGAAAGCGUGGGGAGCAAACAGG